Molecule: long non-coding RNA, 647 nt
Filed under: Capsicum annuum
Lineage: Eukaryota; Viridiplantae; Streptophyta; Magnoliopsida; Solanales; Solanaceae
Description: long non-coding RNA (CANN_LNC003168)
Source: RNAcentral
ACCCAAUACCCAACUUAUGUCGAGAGAAAAUUCCAAAAUAAAAACAAAAAAAAUUAGGUCAAAGUCGUCAAUUAGAAGAAUACACUAAUCUUAAAUCCCCAAAUUCAAGCUUAGCUCUGAAGCAACGACGAUUUCUGAAACAACAAUGCUAAGAAAAUGCUGAAAUGCCGACUCGCCUAAGCUCCGAUCGCUAUUAACUUUUCUAUCUCCUUUUCAGUGGUGGUUAAUUCAUCGAUCAACAACUGAAAUGCUGAAAAUUCUAAGCGAUAAGUUUCGAUCCACCGGUCACCGAACAACAACAAUGGCUACAACAAGUUUAAAUCUUUCUUCAAGUCUAAAUCUACAACCAAUUAUUAAUUAGACGAUGAGCACUUCUGAGAUACUACAACGAUGUCUUGAGCAAGCGUGAGACGUUGAGAACUUUUGGAGGGACAUGGCUGAUCCCUAAUUUGACGAUGAGCACUUUUGGGAGCAGCGUGAGACGAUUCCUCAAUUAGAAGAUUCUGGUUCGAUUAGCCACUUUUAAGAAUCUUAUCAAUUAUCAACUGAUAGGAUUUGGCGAUGAGAAAGAAAUAGGAUUUUUUGAUAUAUGUUGUAUUGAGAGAGGAAAUUUUUUUUUUUUUGCAGACUAAUGAAAUAUUACAGAG